RNAcentral lists this unclassified non-coding RNA (287 nucleotides) under Ascobolus sp. RNAcentral describes it as "partial contains 5.8S ribosomal RNA, internal transcribed spacer 2, and large subunit ribosomal RNA". The stretch from base 1 to 71 matches the Rfam family "5.8S ribosomal RNA", at positions 84 to 154 of the family's 154-position model. Lineage: Eukaryota; Fungi; Ascomycota; Pezizomycetes; Pezizales; Ascobolaceae. The record is from RNAcentral.
GUGAGUCAUCGAAUCUUUGAACGCACAUUGCGCCCUUUGGUAUUCCGAAGGGCAUGCCUGUCUGAGCGUCAAUAAAUCAAUCAAACUUAUGUUUGGUAUUGGGGGAAGUGGCAUUGCCUCUCUCCUGUAAGCUAUUGGCGGCGCUGCUUCAGCUUGUAAGACGUAGUAAGUAAUUCCUCGUCAAAGCGACUGUGUAGCUGCCUGCCAACUAAACGAUUUAUUUAACAGCUUGACCUCAGAUCAGGUAGGGAUACCCCCUGAACUUAAGCAUAUCAAUAAGCGGAGGA